GGGCCGAUCUAGGUUAGUUCCAGAACUUCUUGUCAUUUUCCUAUCCUUUCUUCUUUGUAUUCUGUUCGUUUAGCUUCCUCGAGGGCUUGUUUGCUAUUUUUCUCAAUUUUUUUGGGAUUUUGUGGCUUCCAUUUGAUCCAAAAUAUCUUCUGAUAUCUCCUCUUUUAGUAGUUCUAGGAGUUCGUCAGCCCCAGUUCUCCAAAGUCCUUGUACCGUAGACGAAGCCGUAGCUAGGACCGAACCUUGUCUGGCCUUUGCGCCGGACACCAUCCCCAGCUCCUUGACUCCGGAUGAACUCUCACUGAUAAGGAUUCAAUAUGGAGUUCCUCCGGAGUAUGAGCUGGAGCUUCUCGGGCC
Molecule: long non-coding RNA, 357 nt
Filed under: Elaeis guineensis (African oil palm)
Lineage: Eukaryota; Viridiplantae; Streptophyta; Magnoliopsida; Arecales; Arecaceae
Description: long non-coding RNA (EGUI_LNC060703)
Source: RNAcentral